UUGAAUUAAGAGCCUCUUUGUCGACCUCAGAAGAAUUAAAAUCGCCAUAAGUAUUACCCAUAAUCCCGUUCGCUCUAAGGGCAACCGUAGUUGAAGGUGCUACCUUCGAAUAGCUAAUCCCAGAAGGCACGACACAGCUGUCAAGGUGCCACCAUACUGAAACCUCAGGAAAAGAAGAAGAUGAUGAGAACUGACCCACUUGAAUUCUGGUAAAAACCUUGCGAGAAAGACAAGAAGGGAGAAAGGAGAGAUUCUUCAGAAAAAGAGGAAACAUUGUCGAGGGUGAUGGAAAGAGGAGAAAGGAAAAGAACGAUGUGCAACAGAUAGAUAGCUAUUCAACAACAAAGAAAGGGUGGAUUAGAUACAGUGGCGAAGAGAGAAGCAUACGGUUGUGAUAGGGUGGCAAAGUGACAAUACGGCGACGGCGAAGUUGCGAUUGGAAUGACAGAAGAAAGGUUGAAC
RNAcentral lists this long non-coding RNA (462 nucleotides) under Medicago truncatula (barrel medic). RNAcentral describes it as "long non-coding RNA (MTRU_LNC002322)". Lineage: Eukaryota; Viridiplantae; Streptophyta; Magnoliopsida; Fabales; Fabaceae. The record is from RNAcentral.